RNAcentral lists this ribosomal RNA (661 nucleotides) under uncultured bacterium. Its description in RNAcentral is "bacterial SSU rRNA". The stretch from base 1 to 557 matches the Rfam family "Bacterial small subunit ribosomal RNA", at positions 338 to 873 of the family's 1533-position model. The record is from RNAcentral.
CCUACGGGAGGCAGCAGUAGGGAAUCUUCCACAAUGGACGAAAGUCUGAUGGAGCAACGCCGCGUGAGUGAUGAAGGUUUUCGGAUCGUAAAACUCUGUUGUAAGGGAAGAACAAGUACGAGAGGGAAUGCUCGUACCUUGACGGUACCUUGCGAGAAAGCCACGGCUAACUACGUGCCAGCAGCCGCGGUAAUACGUAGGUGGCAAGCGUUGUCCGGAAUUAUUGGGCGUAAAGCGCGCGCAGGCGGCCUUUUAAGUCUGAUGUGAAAGCCCCCGGCUCAACCGGGGAGGGUCAUUGGAAACUGGAAGGCUUGAGUACAGAAGAGAAGAGUGGAAUUCCAUGUGUAGCGGUGAAAUGCGUAGAGAUGUGGAGGAACACCAGUGGCGAAGGCGACUCUUUGGUCUGUAGCUGACGCUGAGGCGCGAAAGCGUGGGGAGCAAACAGGAUUAGAUACCCUGGUAGUCCACGCCGUAAACGAUGAGUGCUAGGUGGUUUCGGGGGUUUCCCGCCCCGUUCGUCGUGUCGUGAGACGUACGUACAUUAAGACACCUCCGUCCGUCGGGGUACGGUACGGCCGGCCGACGGACGUACGUAACGUACGAACGUAGUAGUUAGUACGGCGUGAGACGUACGACCGACGGACGACGACGAGGGAGGAGG